GGGUUGUGAGGUUAAGCGACUAAGCGUACACGGUGGAUGCCCUGGCAGUCAGAGGCGAUGAAGGGCGUGCUAAUCUGCGAUAAGCGCCGGUAAGGUGAUAUGAACCGUUAUAACCGGCGAUACCCGAAUGGGGAAACCCAGUGUGAUUCGUCACACUAUCAUUACGUGAAUACAUAGCGUAAUGAAGCGAACCGGGGGAACUGAAACAUCUAAGUACCCCGAGGAAAAGAAAUCAACCGAGAUUCCCCCAGUAGCGGCGAGCGAACGGGGAGGAGCCCAGAGCCUGAAUCAGCAUGUGUGUUAGUGGAAGCGUCUGGAAAGGCGCGCGAUACAGGGUGACAGCCCCGUACACAAAAGCGCAUGUGUUGUGAGCUCGAUGAGUAGGGCGGGACACGUGGUAUCCUGUCUGAAUAUGGGGGGACCAUCCUCCAAGGCUAAAUACUCCUGACUGACCGAUAGUGAACCAGUACCGUGAGGGAAAGGCGAAAAGAACCCCGGCGAGGGGAGUGAAAAAGAACCUGAAACCGUGUACGUACAAGCAGUGGGAGCACCCUUUGGGGUGUGACUGCGUACCUUUUGUAUAAUGGGUCAGCGACUUAUAUUCUGUAGCAAGGUUAACCGAAUAGGGGAGCCGGAGGGAAACCGAGUCUUAAUUGGGCGUUAAGUUGCAGGGUAUAGACCCGAAACCCGGUGAUCUAGCCAUGGGCAGGUUGAAGGUUGGGUAACACUAACUGGAGGACCGAACCGACUAAUGUUGAAAAAUUAGCGGAUGACCUGUGGCUGGGGGUGAAAGGCCAAUCAAACCGGGAGAUAGCUGGUUCUCCCCGAAAGCUAUUUAGGUAGCGCCUCGUGAA
This 854-nucleotide ribosomal RNA is filed under the name Salmonella enterica. RNAcentral describes it as "partial 23S ribosomal RNA". It matches the Rfam family "Bacterial large subunit ribosomal RNA", at positions 1 to 888 of the family's 2925-position model. Lineage: Bacteria; Pseudomonadati; Pseudomonadota; Gammaproteobacteria; Enterobacterales; Enterobacteriaceae. The record is from RNAcentral.